CAAGCCUGGGCUUCUGCUCACGGGCCACGCCCACUGACCACAGGAAGGGGCCUCCCUUCUUAAAGCAGGGAGAAUAUCUGAGGCUAGUCCUGCAUCCUGGCCAGGAAUCCCAGGCCAACACCCUCCCCGCAAUCUUAGGCGCGUAGCAGCCCUGGCUGGUGACCCCUGGGUGGAGAGAGUACGGUAGUUUGCAAGAAAUCCAAGAAAGGCCUGGAGCUGCCUUCGUGUUCCGGAAGAAUUCACGUGCUAAUUUGUAGGCGGCCUGGCCAGAUGCUUCAGAGACUCCGGCAGCAUCGAAGGUGUGAUUUUAGAUCAGUGCUCCCGAGACCCUUGUGUUAUUUAAGAAGGGUAUGAUACAAUCAUUAUUGCUGGAGGAAAAAUUACCAGCAAAGAGCCAGUCCUGCCGGCGAUAGGUGGGUGGGUGCUGCUCGGAGGACUCUGGGUUCCACAGGAGGUACGUAGCUCACGGAAAAGGGAGUAACGGGACCGCAACGCCAGCUCCCCACUCCUGCCACGAUCGGGCUCCAGCUUUCCGGCC
RNAcentral lists this long non-coding RNA (538 nucleotides) under Macaca mulatta (Rhesus monkey). RNAcentral describes it as "lncRNA (ENSMMUG00000059852.1)". The record is from RNAcentral. Lineage: Eukaryota; Metazoa; Chordata; Mammalia; Primates; Cercopithecidae.